RNAcentral lists this long non-coding RNA (332 nucleotides) under Oryctolagus cuniculus (rabbit). RNAcentral describes it as "lncRNA (ENSOCUG00000030240.1)". Lineage: Eukaryota; Metazoa; Chordata; Mammalia; Lagomorpha; Leporidae. The record is from RNAcentral.
UGAGAAGUUCAAUGUCCAUUCUAUCAUCCACUGGGACAACCCAAGACAAUUGCUCCUGGAGGCAUGUUAUCAAGCAGGAGCACCUGAAACAGGAAAUUAAUAGUGGGAACACAGUAGACUCUCAUAGCAGGCACAGCACUAUAGAGGAUAAAAAGGAACAAACCAAAUCAGCAGUGUCUGACGUCUUGGCCCCAUGGCUGGGGGAUUCCCUGAAGAGAAGAGUAGCAGCACAGCCCAUCUGCGUGAAUCCCUUGCCCAGGCAACUCUCCCUAGAGAGGACUUCAACCACUACAGCCCAGCAACUCAGUGGAUGUAAAUGUAGAAGCACCUAG